GGGCCUUUAGCUCAGUUGGGAGAGCGCCUGCUUCGCAUGCAGGAGGUCGUCGGUUCAAAUCCGGUAGGGUCCA
RNAcentral lists this transfer RNA (73 nucleotides) under Lactiplantibacillus plantarum. RNAcentral describes it as "tRNA-Ala". It matches the Rfam family "tRNA". From Rfam's summary of the family: Transfer RNA (tRNA) molecules are approximately 80 nucleotides in length. Lineage: Bacteria; Bacillati; Bacillota; Bacilli; Lactobacillales; Lactobacillaceae. The record is from RNAcentral.